GAUGAACGCUAGCGGCAGGCCUAAUACAUGCAAGUCGAACGCUCAGUAGCAAUACUGGGAGUGCCGCGCGGGUGCGUAACGCGUACACAAUCUACCUCUAAGCGGGGGACACCUCCUGGAAACGGGGAUUAAUACCGCAUAAUAUGCCGAGGUCGCAUGACUUUGGUAUUAAAGCAGCAAUGCACUUAGAGAUGAGUGUGCGUCCCAUUAGGUAGUUGGUGAGGUAACGGCUCACCAAGCCUAUGAUGGGUAGCCGGUCUGAGAGGAUGGGUCGGCCACACGGGCACUGAGACACGGGCCCGACUCCUACGGGAGGCAGCAGUAAGGAAUAUUGGUCAAUGGGUGGAAACACUGAACCAGCCAUGCCGCGUGGAGGAAUAAGGUCCUACGGAUGUAAACUCCUUUGUACGAGGAAGAGAGU
RNAcentral lists this ribosomal RNA (421 nucleotides) under uncultured bacterium. Its description in RNAcentral is "bacterial SSU rRNA". It matches the Rfam family "Bacterial small subunit ribosomal RNA", at positions 28 to 452 of the family's 1533-position model. The record is from RNAcentral.